GAUGAACGCUGGCGGCGUGCCUAAUACAUGCAAGUCGAGCGAACAGAUGAGGCUCUUGCUCCUCUGACGUUAGCGGCGGACGGGUGAGUAACACGUGGAUCACCUACCUAUAAGACUGGUAUCACUUCGGGACACCGGAGCUAAUACCGGAUAAUAUCUUGCACCGCAUGGUUCAAUAGUGAAAUACGGUUUUUCUGUCACUUCUAGCUGGAUCCGCGCCGCAUUAGCUAGUUGUUAAGGUCAAGGCUUACCAAGGCAACGAUGCGUAGCCGACGUGAGAGGGUGAUAGGCCACACGGGAACGGAGACACGGACAAGACGACUACGGGAGGCAGCAGAAGGGAAUGGGAGGCAAUGGGCGAAAGCAUGACGGAGUAACGCGGAGUGAGUGAUGAAGGUCUUCGGAGCGUAAAAAUCGGUUAUGAGGGAAGAACAAAUGUGGAAGUAACUAUGCAGGGCUUGACGGUAACGAAUAAGAAAGCCACGGCUAACUACGUG
Molecule: ribosomal RNA, 497 nt
Filed under: uncultured bacterium
Lineage: Bacteria
Description: partial 16S ribosomal RNA
Rfam family: Bacterial small subunit ribosomal RNA
Source: RNAcentral